GAUGAACGCUAGCUACAGGCUUAACACAUGCAAGUCGAGGGGAAACGACAUCGAAAGCUUGCUUUUGGUGGGCGUCGACCGGCGCACGGGUGAGUAACGCGUAUCCAACCUGCCCACCACUUGGGGAUAACCUUGCGAAAGUAAGACUAAUACCCAAUGAUAUCCCACGAAGGCAUCCGAAUGGGAUUAAAGAUUUAUCGGUGAUGGAUGGGGAUGCGUCUGAUUAGCUUGUUGGCGGGGUAACGGCCCACCAAGGCUACGAUCAGUAGGGGUUCUGAGAGGAAGGUCCCCCACAUUGGAACUGAGACACGGUCCAAAACUCCUACGGGAGGCAGCAGUGAGGAAUAUUGGUCAAUGGGCGAGAGCCUGAACCAGCCAAGUAGCGUGCAGGAUGACGGCCCUAUGGGUUGUAAACUGCUUUUAUAAGGGAAUAAAGUGGGUCUCGUGAGACUUUUUGCAUGUACCUUAUGAAUAAGGACCGGCUAAUUCCGUG
Molecule: ribosomal RNA, 493 nt
Filed under: uncultured bacterium
Lineage: Bacteria
Description: bacterial SSU rRNA
Rfam family: Bacterial small subunit ribosomal RNA
Source: RNAcentral